CUUUACCAAUCAUAUUGAUUGAUUGCACAGCUUCCCUCGCCAACCACACUGUGGCAUUCACGUUCUCUGAACUUCACCCAGGGUUUUUUCCUGGGAAGCUGAAAAGCAGCAAGAGGCCUCAGAGAAAAAGAAAACAAUUCUUAUCUCACUUGCUUCUCCUGUGUUGUGCCCAUAUGGAAUGUGUUUGAAGAUUGUUUUACUCAAGGUGAUUGUUUGAUUGAACUCCAGUGUGAGUUGUUUUCACUCUCUGGCCAAUCAGGGCCAAGCUGUGUCAGGACUCUUUCCAGAGUCACGAGUUUUCAUUAUUAUCUCUUUAACAUUCAGGCUCAGGAUUCACCAUGGGGUCAGUCAUGACUGCCCAGUGUGAGGCUGGGUGUGCAGCAAAGCCAGAAGCUCAGAGGCACUGAGAGCAGAGAGCAGGUUGACCUGUCUGUUCCUCAUCUGGAGAAAGCCCCAGUUAAAUGUUCACUCCUGGUGUCCCAGCAGCCCAGGGAGCAAGGGAGCUGCCUGCACCUGACUGAAAGAGCAGCAACUCCUCCUAAUCUUUACCCUAACAUCAGUUAAGUGAGAAAUAAAAUAUUCCCUACUUAGAAGCAUUAUAUUUGUGACCCAGAUUUUAAGACACAGCUGUGAUCACGGGUGAGCUGUGACAGAGGAGUGCAUCUCAAUGGCUUCAGCCACUCUGCCCAUACCAGUUUUUGCUUUUACUUCUGCUUUCUCUUACCCACAAGCUCCUUGUUUUCCUUCCUAGAAGGUGACUGCAGCUAAAUCUAGCAACACUUCCAUGCACCAAAUAUCUGGGACAUAUUAUCUCAUGCUGAGAGCUUGCUCUCAGCAGAGUGAAAUUGGGCUGAGGAAAUAGUCAGUAGGAUGUGUUUCUCCACACUUGUCAAGGAGCAGCCACACUUUCCAGGAAUGGUCCUGUUGCAGUCUGCUGUAAAGAUUAACAAAUGGCUUCAUCUGCCUCGCUGCACCUGCAGAGAGCAGAGAGCAUGAGGGAAAACCCAGAACCUCUGGCUGGUCAGCUGUGUUUGUGUUCUCUGUCUGGACUUCACAUUGAACAGCUCUUUCAUCCUUGUUCAGUGUCAGUUCUGUGUUCACAGAAUCCUUCAGGCUGGAAAAGACCCUGGGAUCAUCAAAUCAAACCAUAAACCUGCCACAGCCAGGGGCACCAUGAGCACCCCAUGCUCCUAUCUCUGAACUCUGACAGGGACAGUGACUCCAUCACUUCCCUGGGCAGCCUUUUGCAAUGCUCAACCACCUUUUCAGUGAAGAUUUUUUGUUAAUAUCCAAUCUAAACCUCCCAUGGCACAACUUGAGGCUGUUUCAUCACUCAGGAAAUUUGUUUUUGGAUAAGGCAUCCAUCUACAUUUUGCUGUUUGGUGUCUUUGUGUACAUCCUAACAUAUUUGGUGCUUUUGCUGUAUGAUAUUAUGUGACACACUGUGUAAAAAGUAAGAUUUAUUUUUGGUGCAUGGUAACUUUAUGUGAUCAAUACAAUAAUAUCAUAAUUUCUUGCCUUAAGGGCUCAGCCUGAAUGCUGGUGAAAUGCCAAGACUUGAUCAAUAAUCUGCUGCAUUUUUAGAAGAGAUGGAUGUGAUGGGCCAGCUCAGCCUUUGUGCUCAAAAAUAUGGGGAAAAUCACUGCCAUUAGGCAGGCUACUACAGCUACAGAGAGCUGCUUUACACAACAUGCAAAGAAAUACAGAGAAGUGAGGUGAAAUCUCUACCACUCCUUGAAUAUGUUGUAAGAAAAAUAUUCCAGCGUAAAACAUUAGUUUAAAUUAUACAUGUUUCCAGGAUUGGAGUAAUUAAGUCAGAAUUAACUCAGCUUUUUCAUUCUACUUCCUCUCCCAUCCGUCAGUUGAAAUGAUAUCAUUAAAUUCUACUCAGCAAAUUAUGAUUUUACUGUCUCUAUCCAAUUCACAUAAUAUAUUCCUUGAAAUUCUCGUUCUAGAGUUGUCUAUUAUUCAUUAAAAUACCCUCAUAAGUUACUUCACUUCCCUGACACUUAACAGGAAAAGUAGCAGUAAGUUCCUACUUUGUGUUUUAUCAGCACAUGCUGGGAAACAGGCUCUAUGUAAUUCAUCUGCUUGCAUGGAAAUUAAAUGAAAAUUACAGAGGUGGAAGUGGGGCCACAUGCCAGUUGCUCUGCCUUCCACUAUUUUCCACACUGCCUCAUUGACAAAAUCCAAUCUUUUCCUGAAUGGACAAUUUACAAGAGGAACCAAAUGGAUCCUUACUGGCUAUCCUGCCAAAAUUGUCAUUAAAGAUGCUAAUGGCAUGAGGGGAAUUUGUGCAUGAACCUGUCAUGGAGCCUAGGCUGUGAUUAAAAAUACGUGCUGUGCCAAAAUCUGGGUUUCAUGCAUUCGUUUCGAAGAUACAUUCCAUUUUUCCACUCCGUGUUUUCUGCUUGUAACAAGUUUUCUUGCAGGAGAAGUUUACUCUUCCUGCAGGCAGUCUGAUAAGCACAGGGACAGCAGUGGGUUCAGUGAGUGACUCUCUCACCCAAGAUGCUGUCUUGCUGCCUAGAUGAAAAAGGUUCAGGACUAGAAAGUUCAAUCAGUAAUACACAAACAUGAAGUGUUCCUCUAUCAGCUCUUAGGUGUGGGAUUUGAUGGGCAAGGCAGGGUGGUUGAUAAGGCUCUGUUGAGUCAUGGCUGUUUUUUUGGGUGGUUUGAUUUCCAUUCCUGUUCAUGUAUUGAUGGGAGCCUCAGUUCUCCAGCAGUGCUGGAGUUAUCAGGACAGACCAGUUGUUAUUCAGACCAACACCUCUCCAUCUUCUGAUGUAUAAUUUGUUUUGCAAUGUGUUUAUUUUUGGUAAGAUUGGGGUGUUUUUUUUGUUUUUAUAAAUGUCUAUUUCCAUCCUCAAUCAGAGGCAGCAGCUGCAUGGAAAGGUCUUGGUGUUGCUGAGAUAUGAAAUUGUAUGGCAGGCUUUCACUGGACCUGUUUGGGAUGCAAGAGCCUGUAAAGUGUCUGACUGUGGCAUUCACAUUCUCUGAAAUAAUCCCUUCACCCAGGAUUUUUCUCCUUGGAAGCUGAGAAGCCUCAGAGAAAAGAAAAACAAUUCUUAUCUCAUUUGCUUCUCCUGUGUUUUGCUUUUGUAUUUGGAGAUUGUUUACCCACAGGUGAUUGUUCCAUUGGGUUCUGCUGGGAGUUGUUUUCACUCUUUGGCCAACCAGGGCCAAGCUGUGUCAGGACUCUGGGAAGAGUCACAAGUUUUCAUUAUUUUCUUUUCAACAUUGAGUAAGUAUCUUUUCUGUAUUCUUCAGUAUAGUUAGCAUAGCAUUCUUUAAUAUAAUAUAGUGUCAUAAAGUAAUUAAUUAGCCUUCUGAGAACAUGGGGUCAGAUGCAUCAUUCCUGCCUUCAUUGGGACGUUCCCAGCAAAUACAAUAUCUGACACCUGUGAAUAUUGAUGGCUGGGAGGCAGCAGAGCUCUGCCCUUCUGCCUGUGCACGUGUUCUGAAUGGAAAUUACUUCUCUCUCCACUAUCUAAAUUUUGGAUUUGUUGGGUAAAAUUUUGAAUUUGCCAGUUGGACUUUUGUUGGUUUCUUCUGAUCAGUCAAUUUGAAAUUAAAGGGAGAUUUACAUUUUACACAGGAGAAGCCAAGAGCAGUGAGUCACUUUCUUGCUCAAAUCCAUCUGUCUGUGUCCAUCCAGGAUGCACAGCAGCAGAACAAGAUUAAUUGAUUGAUAGAGCACAGCAAGUUAAUGUUGACAAGCAUGAAUACAGGAAAAACAACUUUCAAGAUGAAGUCCUUGAAAUAUACUUUUUGCACCUUA
This is a long non-coding RNA of Haemorhous mexicanus (house finch), 3781 nucleotides long. RefSeq lists it as uncharacterized. The transcript has 3 exons. NCBI's taxonomy places the organism in Eukaryota, Metazoa, Chordata, Aves, Passeriformes, Fringillidae. The record is from RefSeq and is a predicted model, not a curated record.